UGUUACAGCCGAGUCCUAUCAUAUCCGAACCGGUAAGAUACAUCCGCCACCUAAAAAUACCAGCGCCUCUUCCUCCACUUUCAUGGCCGCUCUCAAACCACCUCCAUGUUCACUGCCUCAGCGCCCACCAAUAAAACCAGGAGCAACUCAUUGUAAGGACGCGCAAUCUCACCAGCGCCGCUUCCUCCCCUUCCAAUUAUACAAAACCCUAUAAGUGCUUGUGCUCAUUAUCUCACUUCACAUCAAGAAGCAACUUCUCAAAUCAGGACGCGCCUUUGCUGAAAGCAUGAAUCUACGCCAAGAAUAACGAGUCAGACUUCCGCUUCAGACAACAAAGUCGUCUCUCAAAUGAAUUCAGGGGAUGGAUUUUGAAGUUUCAGCAGCAUCCAACACGAUCUCAUCAACAAAAAAUUUAACAGACAAGUAACCCAUUUGUCAUCACCCAUUGAAAUCGUUAAUCGAUUUCGACAUCGAAUUUUAGGGUUUUCCAUAAGCUCAAACUUGAUUUUUCUUUUGAUUAUACUACCUGAUUGUGUUGCUCAUCGAUAGAGUUUAGCAGCCCUUUACAUGUGGUUAUUUGAUGAAGUCCCUUGUAAAUGGGGAAAGGGAGGAUGCUAGCGCCAAGAACCUUGCCAUCGUCAAGCAUAUUUGAUCCAUCUCGCACCUACAACCCAACGCCCUUAAAGCUCAGCAAGGAUUGCCUCGAGAAUGGAAGUGAUGAAUGAUGCUUGCCCAAAGUGCUCCAAACCAAUGCCAAAACAUAACGAGUAGGCAAGGUAUAACCCCAGCUGCAACUCAAGGCACCUCUGCCGCAAGACAGACUAAAAAGACUGAGAAGCUCAACUUCUUUGUGAUGUUCCUUUGAAUGUGGUGUAGCGGGUCCGAUAGCAACAGCCAAGGCAGAGAAGUAUCCACUCCUCCGCUACAACACAGGCUAAAGAUUACAUCUUCUAUAUACCUCCGAUUGCCUGCUAGUGAAUCAGAGCCAAGUGCCUUAGAUUUGUUUUUCAUGGUCAACCACCCUCUUUCAACCUCAGAAUAUUGAUUACAGCAGCUGAUCUCCGAUUUCCCCCGACGCGUGCAUUGUAGAAACAACAUGGUCCAAGAGCCUUUAUUAGUUUUGAAUUGUAAGCCUAACGAUCAACAAGGUCAGUGGACGAUCAUACAGCUGCUACGUACUCGCAGCUUGGCCCCAACUGAUCUCAUCGGGAAGCUAAAAGUACCCGCUGCUCAAUGCAAAGAUAAGUUCCCAUUGCCUUGGUUUGAUAUUUAAUUGACACUUAUCCUAGAGUUUUCGAUUGUGCUUGGGUGAGAAUGUAUGCAUAUUCUUCGGACUGUUUCUAUAAUGAUCAUACAUUCCUGUUAGAAAAGAAAAAGAAAAAAAAAGGGAAGGGGGGCUCGAAUAUAGUGUUGAGCUUGCAUUA
This is a long non-coding RNA of Papaver somniferum (opium poppy), 1424 nucleotides long. RefSeq lists it as uncharacterized. The record is from RefSeq and is a predicted model, not a curated record. The transcript has 2 exons. NCBI's taxonomy places the organism in Eukaryota, Viridiplantae, Streptophyta, Magnoliopsida, Ranunculales, Papaveraceae.